GAUGAAGAACGUAGCAAAAUGCGAUAAGUAAUGUGAAUUGCAGAAUUCAGUGAAUCAUCGAAUCUUUGAACGCACAUUGCGCCCGCUGGUAUUCCGGCGGGCAUGCCUGUUCGAGCGUCAUUUCAACCCUCAAGCCCCCGGGUUUGGUGUUGGGGAUCGGCUCUGCCCUUCUGGGCGGUGCCGCCCCCGAAAUACAUUGGCGGUCUCGCUGCAGCCUCCAUUGCGUAGUAGCUAACACCUCGCAACCGGAACGCGGCGCGGCCAUGCCGUAAAACCCCAACUUCUGAAUGUUGACCUCGGAUCAGGUAGGAAUACCCGCUGAACUUAAGCAUAUCAAUAAGCGGAGGA
Molecule: unclassified non-coding RNA, 348 nt
Filed under: soil metagenome
Description: partial contains 5.8S ribosomal RNA, internal transcribed spacer 2, and large subunit ribosomal RNA
Rfam family: 5.8S ribosomal RNA (bases 1-120)
Source: RNAcentral